CUUCCUUCCUCUUUUCUUUGCUUUUUACAUUGCGUUAAGACCGGCUAAAUAAUAUUGAUUGCCAUGGACGUUGGCUGGUUUAAAAUCACUGGCAUCGACGAUAACAAAAAAUACAUCCAUAAAUAAUUAAUCGCUAUUAAUGUUCCAUCGACUUUUGAAAAUCCCUGAUGUGAUCUAUUUCACUUAAUGAGAAACGUGUAAAGUGAGGUUAUUGCUUGAUUAUCUUUAGUCGAAUAAAUCGAGUGAUUCAAAUUAUAAUGCGGAAGAAAGUCA
This 273-nucleotide unclassified non-coding RNA is filed under the name Bombus terrestris (buff-tailed bumblebee). RNAcentral describes it as "misc RNA ENSBTSG00005034905.1". Lineage: Eukaryota; Metazoa; Arthropoda; Insecta; Hymenoptera; Apidae. The record is from RNAcentral.